Molecule: unclassified non-coding RNA, 268 nt
Filed under: Hevea brasiliensis (rubber tree)
Lineage: Eukaryota; Viridiplantae; Streptophyta; Magnoliopsida; Malpighiales; Euphorbiaceae
Source: RNAcentral
AGUCUUUAGCUGCAUGUUCAAUAUCAUCAAAGCUGAAGUAACCAUCUAAAUUCAGUGUUUCCAGCCAAGGGAUGUUGGAGAAAUUCUUAUAUGACGGAACACUAGAGUUCAAAAAAGAGGAGUUAGAACAAAGCUCGGAUUUAUCUGCUAUAGAGCACAAGAACAAGACCAUGAAAAAUCCGAGGAAUAUAAUGGCCUUUUGUUUGAUAAAGGAUGAAGGUGGCGACCCCAUUUUUGCUUUGAGAGAUAAAGAGAGAGAGAAAGAAAG